RNAcentral lists this unclassified non-coding RNA (416 nucleotides) under Amyloodinium ocellatum. RNAcentral's name for it is "partial 5' external transcribed spacer". The record is from RNAcentral. Lineage: Eukaryota; Dinophyceae; Thoracosphaerales; Thoracosphaeraceae.
GAUUUUGCAGAUUGCUGCUAUCACACGCUAAACAAAAACCGGCCAUUUUUUUGAAAGAGGCGGCGGCGGCGCCCACGAAAAAAAUGAGACUGAAAUGGUGAGUGUUUGUAGGAAACUUGGGAAUUGUUUGAAGGAAUCAUAUGGAGCUUCGUAAGAAAUACAAAUUGAAAAUUGUGUGGUGUUUCUUACAUCAUUCGAUUUUGUUGAUGUGAGAGAGAUUAUAUACGCUCUCUGCUUGGCUCUCACAGGACUGAGUUUGAAUCUUUGAAUUCAAAGCUUUGUUCUGUCUGAUACGAAUGCUUGGGUAUCUUCGUCUGACGAGAAGUGUGGGAGCUUUUCGUUCAGACAUCUUCGGAGACUUAUCUCUGAUCUUUUGUAUUGACUUUGUAGGAAACUACGAGUCAUACACAUAUUAU